This 482-nucleotide ribosomal RNA is filed under the name uncultured bacterium. Its description in RNAcentral is "partial 16S ribosomal RNA". It matches the Rfam family "Bacterial small subunit ribosomal RNA", at positions 28 to 507 of the family's 1533-position model. The record is from RNAcentral.
GACGAACGCUGGCGGCGUGCUUAACACAUGCAAGUCGAACGAUGAAGAAGAGAAACGCGAACUUCGGUUCAAAUUUCACUUCGGAUUAGUGGCAGACGGGUGAGUAACGCGUGAGCAACCUACCUCUUACAAAGGGAUAGCCUCGGGAAACCGUGAUUAAUACCAUAUGACACAUUCAUAAGGCAUCUUAAGAAUGUUAAAGCUACGGCGGUAAGAGAUGGGCUCGCGUCCCAUUAGCUAGUUGGUGAGGUAACGGCCCACCAAGGCGACGAUGGGUAACCGGCCUGAGAGGGUGAACGGUCACAUUGGAACUGAGACACGGUCCAAACUCCUACGGGAGGCAGCAGUGGGGAAUAUUGCACAAUGGAGGGAACUCUGAUGCAGCGACGCCGCGUGGGCGAUGAAGGAAUUCGUUUCGUAAAGCUCUGUUCUAUGGGAAGAAAAGGACUGUACCAUAGGAGAAAGCCCCGGCUAAAUACGUA